GUAGGUGGCGAGCGUUGUCCGGAUUUACUGGGCGUAAAGGGCUUGUAGGCGGUCCGUUAAGUCCGAUGUGAAAUCUCCCGGCUCAACUGGGAUAGGUCAUUGGAUACUGGCGGACUAGAGGGGGGUAGAGGAGAGCAGAAUUCCUGGUGUAGCGGUGAAAUGCGUAGAUAUCAGGAGGAAUACCAGUGGCGAAGGCGGCUCUCUGGGCCUACCCUGACGCUGAGGAGCGAAAGCGUGGGGAGCAAACCGGAUUAGAUACCCGGGUAGUCCACGCCCUAAACGGUGGAUGCUAGGUGUGGGGGGUGUAGACCCCCUCCGUGCCGCAGCUAACGCUUUAAGCAUCCCGCCUGGGGAGUACGGCCGCAAGGCUAAA
RNAcentral lists this ribosomal RNA (373 nucleotides) under uncultured bacterium. RNAcentral's name for it is "bacterial SSU rRNA". It matches the Rfam family "Bacterial small subunit ribosomal RNA", at positions 527 to 898 of the family's 1533-position model. The record is from RNAcentral.